GGGUGCAUAGCUCAGUUGGUAGAGCAGCUGACUCUUAAUCAGCGGGCCCAAGGUUCGAGUCCUUGUGCACCCA
Skermanella aerolata KACC 11604 is the source of this 73-nucleotide non-coding RNA. Lineage: Bacteria; Pseudomonadati; Pseudomonadota; Alphaproteobacteria; Rhodospirillales; Azospirillaceae. The record is from Rfam.